This 405-nucleotide ribosomal RNA is filed under the name uncultured bacterium. RNAcentral describes it as "bacterial SSU rRNA". It matches the Rfam family "Bacterial small subunit ribosomal RNA", at positions 355 to 776 of the family's 1533-position model. The record is from RNAcentral.
UGAGGAAUAUUGCGCAAUGGAGGAAACUCUGACGCAGCGACGCCUCGUGAACGACGAAGUCCUUCGGGAUGUAAAGUUCUGUCAGUGGGGACGAAUAAAUGACGGUACCCACAGAGGAAGCACCGGCUAACUACGUGCCAGCAGCCGCGGUAAUACGUAGGGUGCGAGCGUUAUCCGGAAUUAUUGGGCGUAAAGGGUGCGUAGGCGGUUGGGUAAGUUAGAUGUGAAAGCCAUAGGCUUAACUUGUGGUCGCGUCUAAAACUGCUCAGCUAGAGUAUGCUAGAGGAAAGCGGAACUCAUGGUGUAGCGGUGAAAUGCGUAGAUAUCAUGAGGAACACCAGUAGCGAAGGCGGCUUUCUGGGGCAUUACUGACGCUGAAGCACGAAAGCGUGGGGAGCAAACAGG